GAUGAACGCUGGCGGCGUGCUUAACACAUGCAAGUCGAACGAAGCACUUAACCUGAUUCUUCGGAUGAAGGUUUUUGUGACUGAGUGGCGGACGGGUGAGUAACGCGUGGGUAACCUGCCUCAUACAGGGGGAUAACAGUUAGAAAUGACUGCUAAUACCGCAUAAGACCACAGAGCCGCAUGGCUCGGUGGGAAAAACUCCGGUGGUAUGAGAUGGACCCGCGUCUGAUUAGGUAGUUGGUGGGGUAACGGCCUACCAAGCCAACGAUCAGUAGCCGACCUGAGAGGGUGACCGGCCACAUUGGGACUGAGACACGGCCCAAACUCCUACGGGAGGCAGCAGUGGGGAAUAUUGCACAAUGGGGGAAACCCUGAUGCAGCGACGCCGCGUGAGCGAAGAAGUAUUUCGGUAUGUAAAGCUCUAUCAGCAGGGAAGAAAAUGACGGUACCUGACUAAGAAGCACCGGCUAAAUACGUG
Molecule: ribosomal RNA, 478 nt
Filed under: uncultured bacterium
Lineage: Bacteria
Description: partial 16S ribosomal RNA
Rfam family: Bacterial small subunit ribosomal RNA
Source: RNAcentral